AGGAGGCUGUAAACACGGUACCAUAUCCUUGCAGGUGAUCCAGAAGGAUGAGAUUCUCAGCAUGGAACCCCUCAUCAAUCCAGCAGUUCCACCAAGCUGGCUGAGGCCUCAUGCAUUGCUGGAGCUGAUUUUGGGGUGACAUUCUGGAAGACCAGACCAGCUGGAAGUGGAGUCGGGUUGAGACUCACGACCUUCGAGCCUGACUACGGCCCUCUAAGCCCCUGUUUCCCAGUAUCUGCUAUCUCGACCUGCAAUUAUAAAUCGAUCUACGCUUGCGAAAGGUCUACGUCCUCUAAUGCCUGACUCACUACCCUGAGCCCUAAGAGGCUCACAGGAGGUUCCCAAAAGGUUCCUCUUCCUCUUUGUGUUGCCGCUUAGAACACAGAGACUCCACUGAAGUGUACCGUACACCCGUUUGCCCAUCUUCUUCUACCUACUGUUGCUGACAUUAACUCUGGUGAGUUUGGGGGAUUCUCCCCCGACCCCCGAUGGGUCCCUGACAGAGUGCGUGUGUGUCUGCACGUCUGUGUCUGGAGAGUGGGAACGUACGGUGUAUCUGAGACCGACUAAGGGGAAGGGGCCCUUAGCAGUGAGGGUUUGUGGCCAAAGAGCCCCCCCGGCAGGAGUUUUCUAAGGAGGGUUGGAAAGC
RNAcentral lists this long non-coding RNA (649 nucleotides) under Ornithorhynchus anatinus (platypus). Its description in RNAcentral is "lncRNA (ENSOANG00000042641.1)". Lineage: Eukaryota; Metazoa; Chordata; Mammalia; Monotremata; Ornithorhynchidae. The record is from RNAcentral.